AUGCCUGUUCGAGCGUCAUUUCAACCCUCAAGCCCUCGGGUUUGGUGUUGGGGAUCGGCGAGCCCUUGCGGCAAGCCGGCCCCGAAAUCUAGUGGCGGUCUCGCUGCAGCCUCCAUUGCGUAG
Molecule: ribosomal RNA, 123 nt
Filed under: Fusarium oxysporum
Lineage: Eukaryota; Fungi; Ascomycota; Sordariomycetes; Hypocreales; Nectriaceae
Description: 5.8S ribosomal RNA
Source: RNAcentral